This 775-nucleotide ribosomal RNA is filed under the name uncultured Neocallimastigales. RNAcentral describes it as "partial large subunit ribosomal RNA". It matches the Rfam family "Eukaryotic large subunit ribosomal RNA", at positions 22 to 637 of the family's 3401-position model. Lineage: Eukaryota; Fungi; Neocallimastigomycota; Neocallimastigomycetes; Neocallimastigales. The record is from RNAcentral.
CAUAGCGACUAUCGUGGCAUAUCAAUAAGCGGAGGAAAAGAAACUAACAAGGAUUCCCCUAGUAACGGCGAGUGAAGCGGGAAGAGCUCAAAUUUGAAAUCUUAAAGGGUUUCCCUUUACGAAUUGUAGUUUAAAGAAGUGUUUUCUGUUGGAGUUUCGGUAAAAGUUCUUUGGAAUAGGACAUCAUAGAGGGUGAGAAUCCCGUAUUUGACCGUUACUUUCCAGCUGUGUGAUACACUUUCAAAGAGUCGGAUUGUUUGGGAAUGCAGUCCAAAAUGGGUGGUAAAUUUCAUCUAAAGCUAAAUAUUGGCGAGAGACCGAUAGCGAACAAGUACCGUGAGGGAAAGAUGAAAAGAACUUUGAAAAGAGAGUUAAACAGUACGUGAAAUUGUCAAAAGGGAAGCGUUUGACACCAGUGUUGUUUAGUUGAAAAUCAAUUCAAUAAUUUUUGAUUUUAAGUAGUAUUGACUUCAUCAGCUUGCUGCUUUCUUUUCAGGAAUUAUUGAAUGCACUUUUCAGUUAACAAGUCAACAUCAAUUUCUUUUGUUGUAAAAGGGUAAGAGGAAGGUGGCUUACGCUUCGGCGUAAGUGUUUAUAGCCUUUUACCUCUGCAAUCGGAGAGAUUGAGGUCUGCAGCGUAGACUCUUCGGGGUUAGAUACAUUUAUGCUAAGCUAUAGCCUUGUAUAGACAACUUGUUGACUAUGCUCAGUCAUGUAGCUUACUCGUAGAUGCUAUUUUACCUACGCUUAGGAUGUUGACGCGCGUGUGUGCGUG